RNAcentral lists this long non-coding RNA (376 nucleotides) under Salvia miltiorrhiza (redroot sage). RNAcentral's name for it is "long non-coding RNA (SMIL_LNC007986)". Lineage: Eukaryota; Viridiplantae; Streptophyta; Magnoliopsida; Lamiales; Lamiaceae. The record is from RNAcentral.
UCGCCUUCAACGCCGACCCCGCCUGCCUCGGCGGCGACGCCACCGCCGGCGGCGAGUUCAUGCGCGCGUUCGAGACCGCUGCGAACCUCAGCUCCGGCAGGUUUCUCUACGCGGUGCCUCGAUCCUACCUGAUAAAAAAAUUCUUAAAUCUCGGAUCGGAGAAGAAGCUUAGAGAAGCAAUCGCGACGGUGCACGAAUUCGCCGAUCAAAUAAUCAGAUCCAGAAUUGAAAAAUUACCGAGAAUAAAAUCUUAGAGGAAGACUUGCUAUCGAGAUUCAUAGGCAAGAGCGAGAACAUCUCCGCCGAGUUCCUCAGAGACAUCGUGAUCAGCUUCAUCCUCGCCGGCCGCGACACGACGUCGUCGGCUCUGUCGUGG